AGCCCAGGACAUGCUCAUAAAUAACCAUCAGCACUACAAGAAAGACGUACCAAAUGUGAUUUGGAGGCGCAAGGUGCACAGGAAUGAAGGACAAAGGACAUCAAGGGCCCUGCUGGACUUGGAACCCAGGCCUGCUGGAGCAGAGAUCACAUCACAUUGCCAAGUUCAUUAUUCAGAUUCACAAUUGGGAUCACACAACUAAGGCACCUGCUGUCCUGUGUGGUGGCACACUUAACUUGGAGGCCAGCCUCUUACGUAAGGUGCAGAAAUCUACCAGGAUGACUCGAGGAAGACAAACCAACUUGGAAGCCCCAAAGGCAAUGGUUGCUCCAGCUCAUGCCAGCCUGUAAGAAUCAAUUGGGGCAUCUCUUCACAACACUGUGACAAAAGAUGGCAAGUUGGUAGCUUGAAACUGGCCCUGAUGGGAGUAUGUACAUCACGGAAAUUGGCAAAUGCUAGAAAUCAGGACCCCCCUCCAAAGCUAAUUACAUAUCUACCAUGAGACCACUGCCUAAAGAGCCAGGAUGUCCCUAUGUUGCCCAGGCUGGUCUCGAACUACUGGGCUCACACAAUCC
Homo sapiens (human) is the source of this 575-nucleotide long non-coding RNA. Ensembl annotates it as LARS2 antisense RNA 1. Its record names the gene LARS2-AS1. The record is from Ensembl. Lineage: Eukaryota; Metazoa; Chordata; Mammalia; Primates; Hominidae.